RNAcentral lists this small nuclear RNA (82 nucleotides) under Sarcophilus harrisii (Tasmanian devil). RNAcentral describes it as "U4 spliceosomal RNA". It matches the Rfam family "U4 spliceosomal RNA", at positions 1 to 82 of the family's 138-position model. From Rfam's summary of the family: U4 small nuclear RNA (U4 snRNA) is a component of the major U2-dependent spliceosome. Lineage: Eukaryota; Metazoa; Chordata; Mammalia; Dasyuromorphia; Dasyuridae. The record is from Rfam by way of RNAcentral.
AGCUUUGCAGAAAGGUAGUAUUAUAGCCAAUGAGGUUUAUCCAAGGAGCAAUUAUUGUUAAUUGAAAACUUAAAUAUACAAA